GAUGAACGCUGGCGGCGUGCCUAAUACAUGCAAGUCGAGCGAACAGACGAGGAGCUUGCUCCUUUGACGUUAGCGGCGGACGGGUGAGUAACACGUGGGUAACCUACCUAUAAGACUGGGAUAACUUCGGGAAACCGGAGCUAAUACCGGAUAAUAUUUCGAACCGCAUGGUUCGAUAGUGAAAGAUGGCUCUGCUAUCACUUAUAGAUGGACCUGCGCCGUAUUAGCUAGUUGGUAAGGUAACGGCUUACCAAGGCAACGAUACGUAGCCGACCUGAGAGGGUGAUCGGCCACACUGGAACUGAGACACGGUCCAGACUCCUACGGGUGGCAGCAGUAGGGAAUCUUCCGCAAUGGGCGAAAGCCUGACGGAGCAACGCCGCGUGAGUGAUGAAGGUCUUCGGAUCGUAAAACUCUGUUAUUAGGGAAGAACAAACGUGUAAGUAACUGUGCACGUCUUGACGGUACCUAAUCAGAAAGCCACGGCUAACUACGUG
Molecule: ribosomal RNA, 497 nt
Filed under: uncultured bacterium
Lineage: Bacteria
Description: partial 16S ribosomal RNA
Rfam family: Bacterial small subunit ribosomal RNA
Source: RNAcentral